RNAcentral lists this ribosomal RNA (116 nucleotides) under Halomonas sp. SH5A2. The record is from RNAcentral. Lineage: Bacteria; Pseudomonadati; Pseudomonadota; Gammaproteobacteria; Oceanospirillales; Halomonadaceae.
CCUGACGACCAUAGCAAGCGUGAACCACCUGAUCCCUUGCCGAACUCAGUAGUGAAACCGCUUCGCGCCGAUGGUAGUGUGGGGUCUCCCCAUGCGAGAGUAGGUCAUCGUCAGGC